AUACAGAGGGUGCAAGCGUUAAUCGGAAUUACUGGGCGUAAAGCGCACGUAGGUGGUUCAUUAAGUCAGAUGUGAAAGCCCCGGGCUCAACCUGGGAACUGCAUUUGAAACUGGUGAGCUAGAGUAUGCUAGAGGUAAGUGGAAUUCCAGGUGUAGCGGUGAAAUGCGUAGAUAUCUGGAGGAACAUCAGUGGCGAAGGCGACUUACUGGACCAAUACUGACACUGAGGUGCGAAAGCGUGGGGAGCAAACAGAAUUAGAAACCCUAGUAGUCC
This 274-nucleotide ribosomal RNA is filed under the name uncultured bacterium. RNAcentral describes it as "partial 16S ribosomal RNA". It matches the Rfam family "Bacterial small subunit ribosomal RNA", at positions 523 to 796 of the family's 1533-position model. The record is from RNAcentral.